This 74-nucleotide transfer RNA is filed under the name Solirubrobacterales bacterium. Its description in RNAcentral is "tRNA-Met". It matches the Rfam family "tRNA". From Rfam's summary of the family: Transfer RNA (tRNA) molecules are approximately 80 nucleotides in length. Their secondary structure includes four short double-helical elements and three loops (D, anti-codon, and T loops). Further hydrogen bonds mediate the characteristic L-shaped molecular structure. tRNAs have two regions of fundamental functional importance: the anti-codon, which is responsible for specific mRNA codon recognition, and the 3' end, to which the tRNAs corresponding amino acid is attached (by aminoacyl-tRNA synthetases). tRNAs cope with the degeneracy of the genetic code in two manners: having more than one tRNA (with a specific anti-codon) for a particular amino acid; and 'wobble' base-pairing, i.e. permitting non-standard base-pairing at the 3rd anti-codon position. RNAcentral also lists the same sequence under 4 other names. The record is from RNAcentral. Lineage: Bacteria; Bacillati; Actinomycetota; Thermoleophilia; Solirubrobacterales.
GCCAGAGUAGCUCAGGUGGUUAGAGCAGCGGAAUCAUAAUCCGCGUGUCGGGGGUUCGAAUCCCUCCUCUGGCA